This 467-nucleotide ribosomal RNA is filed under the name uncultured bacterium. RNAcentral describes it as "partial 16S ribosomal RNA". It matches the Rfam family "Bacterial small subunit ribosomal RNA", at positions 28 to 507 of the family's 1533-position model. The record is from RNAcentral.
GACGAACGCUGGCGGCGUGCUUAACACAUGCAAGUCGAACGGAAAGGCCUCUUUCGGGGGGUACUCGAGUGGCGAACGGGUGAGUAACACGUGAGUAACCUGCCCUUGACUUUGGGAUAACUUCAGGAAACUGGUGCUAAUACCGGAUAGGAGCUCCUGCUGCAUGGUGGGGGUUGGAAAGGUUCGGCGGUUGGGGAUGGACUCGCGGCUUAUCAGCUUGUUGGUGGGGUAGUGGCUUACCAAGGCUUUGACGGGUAGCCGGCCUGAGAGGGUGACCGGCCACAUUGGGACUGAGAUACGGCCCAGACUCCUACGGGAGGCAGCAGUGGGGAAUAUUGCACAAUGGGUGGAAGCCUGAUGCAGCAACGCCGUGUGCGGGAUGACGGCCUUCGGGUUGUAAACCGCUUUCGCUCAUGACGAAGCUUUGUGUGACGGUAGUGGGUAAAGAAGCACCGGCUAACUACGUG